AACGCUGGCGGCAGGCCUAACACAUGCAAGUCGAGCGGUAGCACAGAGAGCUUGCUCUCGGGUGACGAGCGGCGGACGGGUGAGUAAUGUCUGGGAAACUGCCUGAUGGAGGGGGAUAACUACUGGAAACGGUAGCUAAUACCGCAUAACGUCGCAAGACCAAAGUGGGGGACCUUCGGGCCUCAUGCCAUCAGAUGUGCCCAGAUGGGAUUAGCUAGUAGGUGGGGUAACGGCUCACCUAGGCGACGAUCCCUAGCUGGUCUGAGAGGAUGACCAGCCACACUGGAACUGAGACACGGUCCAGACUCCUACGGGAGGCAGCAGUGGGGAAUAUUGCACAAUGGGCGCAAGCCUGAUGCAGCCAUGCCGCGUGUGUGAAGAAGGCCUUCGGGUUGUAAAGCACUUUCAGCGGGGAGGAAGGCGUUAAGGUUAAUAACCUCAUCGAUUGACGUUACCCGCAGAAGAAGCACCGGCUAACUCCGUGCCAGCAGCCGCGGUAAUACGGAGGGUGCAAGCGUUAAUCGGAAUUACUGGGCGUAAAGCGCACGCAGGCGGUCUGUCAAGUCGGAUGUGAAAUCCCCGGGCUCAACCUGGGAACUGCAUUCGAAACUGGCAGGCUAGAGUCUUGUAGAGGGGGGUAGAAUUCCAGGUGUAGCGGUGAAAUGCGUAGAGAUCUGGAGGAAUACCGGUGGCGAAGGCGGCCCCCUGGACAAAGACUGACGCUCAGGUGCGAAAGCGUGGGGAGCAAACAGGAUUAGAUACCCUGGUAGUCCACGCCGUAAACGAUGUCGAUUUGGAGGUUGUGCCCUUGAGGCGUGGCUUCCGGAGCUAACGCGUUAAAUCGACCGCCUGGGGAGUACGGCCGCAAGGUUAAAACUCAAAUGAAUUGACGGGGGCCCGCACAAGCGGUGGAGCAUGUGGUUUAAUUCGAUGCAACGCGAAGAACCUUACCUGGUCUUGACAUCCACAGAACUUUCCAGAGAUGGAUUGGUGCCUUCGGGAACUGUGAGACAGGUGCUGCAUGGCUGUCGUCAGCUCGUGUUGUGAAAUGUUGGGUUAAGUCCCGCAACGAGCGCAACCCUUAUCCUUUGUUGCCAGCGGUCCGGCCGGGAACUCAAAGGAGACUGCCAGUGAUAAACUGGAGGAAGGUGGGGAUGACGUCAAGUCAUCAUGGCCCUUACGACCAGGGCUACACACGUGCUACAAUGGCAUAUACAAAGAGAAGCGACCUCGCGAGAGCAAGCGGACCUCAUAAAGUAUGUCGUAGUCCGGAUUGGAGUCUGCAACUCGACUCCAUGAAGUCGGAAUCGCUAGUAAUCGUAGAUCAGAAUGCUACGGUGAAUACGUUCCCGGGCCUUGUACACACCGCCCGUCACACCAUGGGAGUGGGUUGCAAAAGAAGUAGGUAGCUUAACCUUCGGGAGGGCGCUUACCACUUUGUGAUUCAUGACUGGGGUGAAGUCGUAACAAGGUAACCGUAGGGGAACCUGCGGUUGGAUCACCUCCUUACCUUAAAGAA
Molecule: ribosomal RNA, 1519 nt
Filed under: Klebsiella pneumoniae
Lineage: Bacteria; Pseudomonadati; Pseudomonadota; Gammaproteobacteria; Enterobacterales; Enterobacteriaceae
Description: bacterial SSU rRNA
Rfam family: Bacterial small subunit ribosomal RNA
Source: RNAcentral